GACGAACGCUGGCGGCGUGCCUAACACAUGCAAGUCGAACGGGAUCCAUGGAGUGCUUGCACUCCGGAAGAUCUAGUGGCGAACGGGUGAGUAACACGUGAGAAACCUGCCCCAGACUCUGGGAUAACCUCGGGAAACCGAAGCUAAUACCGGAUAUUCUCCUUUGGUCGCAUGGCCAGUUGAGGAAAGUUUUUCGGUCUGGGAGGGUCUCGCGGCCUAUCAGCUAGUUGGUGGGGUAACGGCCCACCAAGGCUACGACGGGUAGCUGGUUUGAGAGAACGAUCAGCCACACUGGAACUGAGACACGGUCCAGACUCCUACGGGAGGCAGCAGUGGGGAAUCUUGCGCAAUGGGCGAAAGCCUGACGCAGCAACGCCGCGUGCGGGAUGAAGGCCUUCGGGUUGUAAACCGCUUUCAGCAGGGACGAAAAUGACGGUACCUGCAGAAGAAGCCCCGGCUAACUACGUG
Molecule: ribosomal RNA, 468 nt
Filed under: uncultured bacterium
Lineage: Bacteria
Description: bacterial SSU rRNA
Rfam family: Bacterial small subunit ribosomal RNA
Source: RNAcentral